This 112-nucleotide small RNA is filed under the name Arabidopsis thaliana (thale cress). RNAcentral describes it as "ATSL092800". The record is from RNAcentral. Lineage: Eukaryota; Viridiplantae; Streptophyta; Magnoliopsida; Brassicales; Brassicaceae.
AAAACCAUUGUAGUAUAUGAAAGUAAACUGAAUGUUGAAUGAUGAUGUGUAAGAGAGAGAAGAUGAUGUGUAGGUUGUUGUAAUUUUAAACCAAUGUAAAUAGUCUAAUAAA